Molecule: non-coding RNA, 859 nt
Organism: Triticum urartu
Lineage: Eukaryota; Viridiplantae; Streptophyta; Magnoliopsida; Poales; Poaceae
Source: RefSeq, a predicted model, not a curated record
UAUCUGUAACAAUUUUUUCUGUCAACUCCACUUGGUAAGAAUGCUGGGGGCAGUCAGUGGAAUCAGCCACACCACCACAUACUUUUAUGCGACAGGGGCUUUUUUGUCUUGUUUUUGCCAGUGACCUCGCGCUUUUUCGCUUGGCGUCGCUCUUCGGUUGGGCACUUUUGUUUUUGGUAGCCACACUUUUCGCUUAACAAAUCCACAUUGUUUUUUUUUCCUAAUAUCCACUUAUUCUUAAUUUUUUGUUUGUUUCUUUUACAUGCACAAGAGGUUGCAUUAUGGCUGGAUAAUGAAAAUAGCCCUGAGAUGAGACUAGAUUAGGCUGGGUAGUUUAAGCUAUCGAUACAAAUAGAGUUUUGCGCACUGAGAGUACAACAAUUUAUUUGUGCUCAGUUGAUACUUGACUAUCCUUCAAAAUUCUUGUUUAUCUAUUCUUGUUUCUUUUUAUAGGGGGGUGUAAGCAGAGAUACCAACCAUCAAAAUUCAGAGAGCAACAACAUCAAUGAAGACCUGGACCAAACUUUUCAUGGCAAUGUUUCUAAAGUUCAGGCCUCUAACAUUGAUUUAAUAAAAACAUAUACAUCAGAUAGCAUGUUGCUUGAUGGUAUCAGAAAAAUGCUGCAAAAGAGUGAUGAAAGGAAACAGAGGAGGAAUGUUUUGAAGGAGCAAAGCAGAAAGAGGUCAAGGGCUCAGAAGGGAACAACCCCAGAAUGUUUGCAUAAAGGAAGAGCAAGAAAAAGAACGCCCACUUUUCCCUUGUCUUUUUUUGGCAAGCUUGUUUGACAAGAAAAGUGCCCAGACCUGGACUGGCACAAGGCCAACAUCUGUUCCCAAUCCUUUUCUUUACAACAAACAA